GCUUGUCUCAAAGCUUAAGCCAUGCAAGUCUAAGUUCACGCCACGCAUUAGAACGGGCGAAACCGCGAAUGGCUCAGGAACCGGACCUAAUCCUCGGGACCGUAAUCCUCCUCCUGGAGGCGAUGGAUAACUGUGGCAAUUCUAGAGCUAAUACAUGUGACACAAGCCGCGAUCGGUCGGCGCGUUGCGUCGCCUUAGCCUUUGGGUUUGGGCACCCGCGUCGAUCGUUACGGGUCGCGGCGCUACAUAUUAGACUGAGACCGAUGCGCGUUCUUCCGUCCUCCCGUUCGAGGCCGUUCGCUUCGGCGUUCGACUCGGCGGGGUUACUAUGGGCGGCGCGCUCCGCUUUGGUGACUCUGGAUAACUCACUGGUCGAUCGCACCGGCUUUAUGCCUGGCGACGGGUCUCUCGAGGGUCCGCCCUAUCAACUGUCGACGGUCGGUUAAGUGCCUACCGUGGUUACUACGGGUAACGGGGAAUCGGGGUUCGAUUCCGGAGAGGGAGCAUGCGAAACGGCUACCACAUCCAAGGAAGGCAGCAGGCGCGCAAAUUACCCACUCCCGGCACGGGGAGGUAGUGACGAAAAAUAACGACGCGGGACUCUGUCGAGGCCCCGCGAUCGGAAUGAGUACACUUCAAAUCCGUUAACGAGGACCAACCGGAGGGCAAGUCUGGUGCCAGCAGCCGCGGUAAUUCCAGCUCCGGUAGCGUAUAUUAAAGUUGUUGCGGUUAAAAAGCUCGUAGUCCGAACUCGGGUUCGUGGUCGCUCGCGCGGCCCCGGGGCGGCGGCGCCAUCGUCCGUUGUUGACUUUGGUCGUCCGUUCGCAUUCCCGGCCCUUUCCGCCGGUGUCGACUGCCAUGUACAUCCGCCUCGCGGUCUGCCGGCAGGAAYCUUUGCGUGUUCGCGGCGUCGCUCGUCGUCGUCGUGUCGCGCAAUCUCCCGUCGUGCGCGCGUGUUUGCGGUCGGGCGGUUUCUCCUCCAAGGGUGCUCUUAACCGAGUGUCCGCGGCGGCCGGUACGUUCACUUUGAAAAAAUUAGAGUGCUCAGAGCGGGCUGUUCAAGCUUGCAUACGAUAAGCAUGGAAUGAUGGAAGAGGGCCUCGUCUACGUCUGUCGGUCUCCGUCUACGGCGAGGCAAUGAUCGAAGGGAGCGGUCGGGGCCACUCGUAUUGCGACGUUAGAGGUGAAAUUCUUGGAUCGUCGCAAGACGAACUGCAGCGAUGGCGUGUGGCAAGCACGUUUUCCUCGAUCAAGAGCGAAAGUCGGAGGUUCGAAGACGAUCAGAUACCGUCGUAGUUCCGACCGUAAACGAUGCCGACCGGCGAUCCGCCGGCGUUCGCUUCCAUGACCCGGCGGGUAGCCUGCGGGAAACCAGAGUUCGGUUCCGGGGGGAGUAUGGUUGCAAAGCUGAAACUUAAAGGAAUUGACGGAAGGGCACCACCAGGAGUGGAGCCUGCGGCUUAAUUUGACUCAACACGGGAAAACUCACCCGGUCCGGACACCGGUAGGAUUGACAGAUCGAUAGCUCUUUCUCGAUUCGGUGGGUGGUGGUGCAUGGCCGUUCUUAGUUGGUGGAGCGAUCCGUCUGGUUGAUUCCGAUAACGAACGAGACUCCGGCCUGCUAACUAGUGCGCCGAUGUGUGUGCGUUUUUUGCUACGGCGGGCUCGGGCCGUGCGUGUUCGUCGUGCGUCGCUUCCGGCGUGCGUUUGCGUGCGUCUCUCGCUGUCGGCUUCGGGCUYUCGGGUUCGUGGUCGGCGGCUGGGUGGCGUGCGUGGCGCCGCCGCGGACGGCGUGCGGUCGUGCGCGCGGUUUCCGCCGGGUCCGGGUCGGUUUUCUCACGCACUUCUUAGAGGGACGGGUGGCAGAAAGCCACACGAGGCGGAGCAAUAACAGGUCUGUGAUGCCCUUAGAUGUCCGGGGCCGCACGCGCGCUACACUGGAGGUAUCAGCGGGGACUUCGCCCCGGCCCGAGAGGGCUGGGAAACCUCUCAACCACCUCCCGUGAUAGGGAUCGGGGCCUGUAACCAACCCCGUGAACGAGGAAUUCCCGGUAGGCGCGGGUCAACAGCCCGCGUCGAUCACGUCCCUGCCCUUUGUACACACCGCCCGUCGCUACUACCGAUCGAACGGUCCGGUGAGGUCCUCGGAUCUGGCCGACGACGCCGCCGGGCUGCCUGGUGGUUCGCUGCCUGUGCCGCCUCGGCGUUCGACGCCUGGAGAAGACGACCGAACCCGAUCGUUUAGAGGAAGUAAAAGUCGUAACAAGGUUUCC
RNAcentral lists this ribosomal RNA (2273 nucleotides) under Doryteuthis pealeii. RNAcentral's name for it is "bacterial SSU rRNA". It matches the Rfam family "Eukaryotic small subunit ribosomal RNA". The record is from RNAcentral. Lineage: Eukaryota; Metazoa; Mollusca; Cephalopoda; Myopsida; Loliginidae.